This 246-nucleotide unclassified non-coding RNA is filed under the name rhizosphere metagenome. RNAcentral describes it as "partial ribosomal RNA internal transcribed spacer region". The record is from RNAcentral.
GUAGGUGAACCUGCGGAAGGAUCAUUAAUGAAAGCUCGAGCGAGGUUGUCGCUGGCCCCCCCCCCGGGGGCAACGUGCACGCCUUUGUCUCUGUCCUUCAUCUUCUCACCCCCCUGUGCACCUCUGCGUGGGUCCCCCUCGGGGGGCUCGCGUCAUAUAUCCAUAACGAACGCAUGUAUCGGAACGUAUCGUUUGCUACAGCAGCAAAAACUUGUACAACUUUCAACAACGGAUCUCUUGGCUCUC